This 253-nucleotide ribosomal RNA is filed under the name uncultured bacterium. RNAcentral's name for it is "partial 16S ribosomal RNA". It matches the Rfam family "Bacterial small subunit ribosomal RNA", at positions 524 to 776 of the family's 1533-position model. The record is from RNAcentral.
UACGAAGGGGGCUAGCGUUGCUCGGAAUCACUGGGCGUAAAGCGCACGUAGGCGGCUUUUUAAGUCAGAGGUGAAAUCCUGGAGCUCAACUCCAGAACUGCCUUUGAUACUGGAGAGCUUGAGUCCGGGAGAGGUGAGUGGAACUGCGAGUGUAGAGGUGAAAUUCGUAGAUAUUCGCAAGAACACCAGUGGCGAAGGCGGCUCACUGGCCCGGUACUGACGCUGAGGCGCGAAAGCGUGGGGAGCAAAAGGG